This 371-nucleotide long non-coding RNA is filed under the name Mytilus galloprovincialis (Mediterranean mussel). The record is from RNAcentral. Lineage: Eukaryota; Metazoa; Mollusca; Bivalvia; Mytilida; Mytilidae.
GGUUGGGAUACAUCUUGAUUUUUUUUUAAAUUUCUAACAACAACCAAAAUCUUGAAUAAACAUAGGAAAUAUAUCUUUUCAUCAUGUUAAAGGCCUAGAAUGCAAUUGUGCACAUCUAGCGUGUUUCAAGAAACGGCUAUUUUUAUAUAUUUAUCAUACUUUACUACCCGAUUUGCCAGCUGUGAUAACGUGCUGAAAAUUAGUAAGAGAAAGACGUAAAAACUCUAAUAACAAACGUCACAAAAACUGUAAUAACUCUAAAAAUGAUGACUUUGCUGACCGAUAAAUUAUAAAUUUUAAUAAUAGAAAAUCCCGAUUAAAGCAAUCUAAGGCCCCCCAAUCUUCAAUCACACGUUACGGAAAAGACGGAC